AUGGAAAAACAUGAGAGCCUGGAGCGUGACUCGAAGACUCGAGAAUCUGAGCUUGCAUCGGCUCUUGAGAGUGCCAAAGCCGCUAAGGCCGAAGCCUACAAGGCCCUCCAAGAAAUCGAGGCGUUGAAGAAAAUAGCAGUGGGCAAGGCAUUUUUCAUGCAAAGUAAGCAUGUGAGUGUUAAUUACCUGUUACUUACCCGAAUUCGGAGCUCUCCAGGAGCGUUCGCAGAUCUUCCUUGCAGCAUGUCUAAUGCUGCCGCGUUCUACCGGGCCGAGGAGGGGAGCUCGACGGAGAAGGUCUUCUGGUAUCAGUAUGCUGAGGCCGGACAUCCGGUGCCCCUUAGCGACCAGCUGAAGCAGCUGGUUGAGCUCCACAAGGUGGCCAAACAGGCCAUGAAGGGCCUCAUAGUUCGGCUGUGGCCGAAGGAGGCCAUGCCUGGGAGCUACUUCGGCCUGGUGCGGCGGCUGGUGGAUGCGUGUCCAUGGGUUGAAGUCAUCAAGCAGUCCGCCUGUAUUGAAGGUGCCCGUCGGGCCCUUGCCCGCGCAAAGGUGCACUAG
RNAcentral lists this ribosomal RNA (558 nucleotides) under Triticum aestivum (bread wheat). RNAcentral describes it as "partial small subunit ribosomal RNA". Lineage: Eukaryota; Viridiplantae; Streptophyta; Magnoliopsida; Poales; Poaceae. The record is from RNAcentral.